UACGGAGGGUGCAAGCGUUAUCCGGAUUUACUGGGUUUAAAGGGUGUGUAGGCGGACUUUUAAGUCAGGGGUGAAAUCCCGAGGCUCAACCUCGGAACUGCCUUUGAUACUAUUGGUCUUGAAUGUUGUUGAGGUGGGCGGAACGGGUCAUGUAGCGGUGAAAUGCAUAGAUAUGACCCGGAACACCGAUUGCGAAGGCAGCCCGCUAAGCAACUAUUGACGCUGAGGCACGAAAGCGUGGGGAGCAAACAGG
Molecule: ribosomal RNA, 253 nt
Filed under: uncultured bacterium
Lineage: Bacteria
Description: partial 16S ribosomal RNA
Rfam family: Bacterial small subunit ribosomal RNA
Source: RNAcentral